CAUAAAACAUUGCAAUGCAUAAAACAAUAUAAUGACAAAAACCGUCACGUCCAAUUAGAACCGCGUUUUAUAACACGGUGCGUUGUUGUUUCGCAAUCCACGUGACACGAUCGCGCUUCGACUGUCCCUCGCGAUUUCGCUAGUCGCCUACCGGAAGUCGCCGCCACCCGGACAUUACGAUCGACCAUGCGGGCCCCAGCGGGAACUAUGCAAACCGAUCGCGAGAAGAAUCCUAAUGCUGUGUCCAGUUUUUACCAACACCGCGGAUUUCCUCGAAAGAGAAAACUCACGUACACGGAAGAAAGGUUUCUCCAUGGGCCUGAGCCGUGUCUGUCUUCGGUGAACGAUUAGGACGACGGAAAAUAAUUUACAGACUCUUUCUCUCGGGAAAGUACCUAAUCGUAGGAUAAUAAAUCUUGUUGCAAAUAAUGGGAAGAAUGGACAAUGUGUCUCGGUAUAUUUUUUUAGGUGCUCGUCAGCUGUGCAAGUCAAAUGCUCCAUUGCGCAUGCGUCGAAUGUUGUUUCGGAUACUACCACGGAUAGAGGUUAUGGCUGCGCUGUACGCGUCGAACGAAAAGAGAACUCACUCUCGAAAGCGUAAUACUUAAACCGCACCCUCGGCCCGCCAAUUAUCACGAGACAGGUUCCUGAGACAAUACUUGACCCUCACCCAGUCUUCAGAACGAUUUCUCGAACUUGUUGCUAUUCCAACUGGUUUACCUGUUUCCAAUGUGCGGUUCUCCGCGAUACGAGAGCGAUUUUACUUUUAGUUCCAGCGCAGGUGUUUUCGAAGUUUUAUUUGAAGAAACUUCUAUUCUUCGGAAUGAAUUCCACCUACUCCAUGAAACUGGCCCACUGUGCGACGACGUGUCAGUGAAAGUAUUAUUUAUCCACGGUGGUUUAAUUGUGACACCACAGCCAUCCGGCCUUAUUAUUACACCGAGUGUGUUAUUCCUUUUUCGGUUCGUUACUUUCUAUUCUCCCUCUCUCUCUUUCUCUAUGUAUACAGAUAUUGUAUAUACCGUGGUUCUCGAGAUCAGGCUCAUGCCGCGCGCCUCGGCGAUUGAAUAGCGAUCGCGGUUGCAACUACUUCCUCUUCUUUUUUUGCGUACAGCAUUAAUUCCAAUAAGUUCUAGGUUAUUACUGCGGUUUUCACUUCGCCGUUUUCUUAGGAAUAUUUUACGGCAGAUCCGGGGAUAAGAAAAUUGCUUCGUUUUCUAUUCAUUAUGCUCGCCUCGCAUUUCGCUGUCGUAUGGCCGCGAUUACUAUUUGCGGUUGUUCGCAAACGAAUUUCGUUCAUCCCGGCACAGUUUGUUAGUUAAUUCAAUUAAAAUAAGUUAGAAUGAAUGUGAACAGAACGAGGCGUUUAAUUACAAUCUAACAAUCUAAUUUAGUUUGUCAAUACGACGUUGAAUGUUAAAAUAAUUACUAGAGAUCAAUAUUAAAAUUAUUGUUAUGAUUAAA
This is a non-coding RNA of Megalopta genalis, 1464 nucleotides long. The record is from RefSeq and is a predicted model, not a curated record. Lineage: Eukaryota; Metazoa; Arthropoda; Insecta; Hymenoptera; Halictidae.